ACUGAGAAACACCCCCAGCCCUUUUUAAAAUUUUUAAAUUUUGAGUCAGGUCUCUCAAGUUGCUGAGGCUAGCUUCAAACUUAUCAUCCUCCUGCCUCAGCCUCCUGAGUUGCUGGGAUCAGAGGUGUGUGCCACUCACUGUAUCUGGCUACUUCAUUUCUUUUUAGUGCAGAAUAAUAUUUCAUUGUGUGGAAGGUUCAUGUUUUGGCUAUCUACUCAUUAGCUGACAGGCAUUUGGGUUGUUUCCACUUUUUCACUGUUUUGAGUCGUGGGCUGUGAACAUUUGUGUGAAAGUAUUUGUGUGGGCAUGUUUUCAUUUAUCUUGGAGAUAUGCCUGUGUGUGGGAAAAAUUAAAAAGCUCAGUUUUCCCCUCUGUUCUCACCGCGACACCCAGUGCAGAUGACACCAGCCAGGCAUCUUCUGAUCUACCUGGAGAUACCAGAUCUCAUGGGUUAAGGGCUCAGCUCCAAGACUGUCCCCUCCCCUUCCUGCCAUUCAUGAGCCCCAGGGGUUCAAUUGAGCUUUUGAUGGACAGGAUAUAAACGCCACAACCUCCUCCUUGGGCUUAAUGAAUGGCUUGAGCAGCUCCCGGGC
RNAcentral lists this long non-coding RNA (594 nucleotides) under Marmota monax (woodchuck). Lineage: Eukaryota; Metazoa; Chordata; Mammalia; Rodentia; Sciuridae. The record is from RNAcentral.